This 253-nucleotide ribosomal RNA is filed under the name uncultured bacterium. RNAcentral's name for it is "partial 16S ribosomal RNA". It matches the Rfam family "Bacterial small subunit ribosomal RNA", at positions 524 to 776 of the family's 1533-position model. The record is from RNAcentral.
UACGUAGGGGGCUAGCGUUGUCCGGAUUUAUUGGGCGUAACGAGCGUGUAGGCGGCCAGGUAGGUCCGUUGUGAAAACUCGAGGCUCAACCUCGAGACGUCGGCGGAAACCCUCUGGCUAGAGUCCGGAAGAGGAGAGUGGAAUUCCUGGUGUAGCGGUGAAAUGCGCAGAUAUCAGGAAGAACACCCGUGGCGAAGGCGGCUCUCUGGGACGGUACUGACGCUGAGACGCGAAAGCGUGGGGAGCGAACAGG